RNAcentral lists this ribosomal RNA (477 nucleotides) under uncultured bacterium. RNAcentral's name for it is "partial 16S ribosomal RNA". It matches the Rfam family "Bacterial small subunit ribosomal RNA", at positions 28 to 507 of the family's 1533-position model. The record is from RNAcentral.
GAUGAACGCUGGCGGCGUGCCUAACACAUGCAAGUCGAACGAAGCACCUUACCUGAUUCUUCUGAUGAAAGUUUGGUGACUGAGUGGCGGACGGGUGAGUAACGCGUGUGUAACCUGCCCUGUACAGGGGGAUAACAGCUGUAAACGGCUGCUAAUACCGCAUACGCGCACGAGGAGACAUCUCCUUGUGUGUAAAACUCCGGUGGGACAGGAUGGGCCUGCGUCUGCUUAGCUGGUUGGCAGGGUAACGGCCUAGCAAGGCAACGAUCAGUACCCGGUCUGAGAGGAAGAACGGAAACAUUGGAACUGAGACACGGUCCAAACUCCUACGGGAGGCAGCAGUGGGGAAUAGUGCACAAUGGGGGAAACCCUGAUGCAGCAACGACGCGUGAGUGAAGAAGUAUGUCGGUAUGUAAAGCGCUAUCAGCAGGGAAGAUAAUGACGGUACCUGACUAAGAAGCUCCGGCUAAAUACGUG